Long non-coding RNA from Manacus vitellinus (golden-collared manakin), 1475 nucleotides. RefSeq lists it as uncharacterized. The record is from RefSeq and is a predicted model, not a curated record. The transcript is spliced from 3 exons. Lineage: Eukaryota; Metazoa; Chordata; Aves; Passeriformes; Pipridae.
CUCCUCGUGACUCCUGCUGGAAAUGUCACUGGAGCCCUGCGUCACCCUCGGCUGCCACCAAAACACUGGAGGUACUGCUUAUCUAAAAUUGCUGACCUCACCACCAUGUCCAACUGCCCCUUUUACAGCAUCCAUGAAAACACUGACCCUUCCUAUGCUGGUCAACAGCCUCUCUGGAGCCAGCCAGGGACAGGUUUCUCUGGCUGAAGUGUGGGAAGGCAAGCUCUGAGCUUGGAGGUCACAGCACUGCAGCAGCCGUGGUAACACCAAAUCUGCUGUAUUUUGCUUUUAUCAGUUAUCCUCUCCAUCUAUCCCAUGGUUCCAUUUGACAUCAGAUAGGGGAAAUUGAAAUUCUUCAAUUUUUUUUCCAGGUAAAUGUUUUCUUAUAGUUAAAACUGUGGGAAAUAGAUCCACAAAAAUGCUGUUUGUCUCAGCUGUGCCUGGCUUGGACUUGUUUUGCCUCUGUAAAGGUGCUGGCAGUAAAUGCCCAGGACUCAAGCCUCACAUUUACCUAAUUAUGGGCAUGUGGUCCCUGUACAAUGAGGAGAGGGCCGAUGCCUUGAGCCUCAGAGAACGUAUUUAAUUCAAAACCUUCAUUAGAAAAGCCUGGAUUUUCUUUGAUUUUACAGGUUCCAUUUUCCUCCCUUUUGGAGGUGGUGGUUGAGGGACUCAGCCUUCCCUGAGCCUUUUCACACUGUCAGGAUCACUGCGGGGGUUCCAUUUAACGAGGUUCAGGGCUGAUCAGGACAAGAAAGGUGUGAGCAUUGAGGGGUUUUUUCUUUAACUACCUACCAAGCGCUAUAUUCCUUCCCUCUAAAAACCUCGUAAUUAAAAUAGGACUUGUAUGAUGUAUUUUUUGUGCGCUUGGUUAAAAUCAAAGCUGGUCAGCUACAAACUAAAAAAAAAAUUUAAAAAAGCACCAAAAAGCUCUUAAUGUAACUCCAGUUAUGGAAGGGAUGCAGUAGCAAUCCACACAGUCCAGAAUCUAUUUUCAUCCUUAUUCCACAUGCACAUCACUGUCUGUCUACGUUACAGAAUAAUGCAGUGUUCGUAUUACAGACCAAAUAGUUUGGGUUUACACAGAGAGUGCAGCAUGCAGCUGUGGAAGUUAAAAUAGCCAUGAGGAUGCUCCACGUUCCCCAGUGCAUAGCUCACAUUCUGGAUCCUGCACAGCAGAUAGCAGGAGCAGCAGAGCUGAGGAGAAGGUUUGGAUAUAAUUUAGAAAAAACAAGGGUUUUUAUAAAUCGCCCCAAAAAAUAUUCAGCUAAGGAGGGGGAAAACAUAGCAAUUGCAGAAUUAUAAAGUACCAGAAAGAAGAGGCUGAGGUUUAACCCAUAAAAAUAAUGUUUCCUUCCUGGGAAAUGCUGCUCUGCUAGGUCUGGGCUAAAACUAGCAGCCACCUCUUAAAGUUUGAGUGUUUGGUUGAGAUCUGUAACUUCACCUGUGAGGCAUCUCCCUGCUUUACAGCAGGGAAA